UCGUUCUCAUUGGGGUACUUUACGAAGCUGAGAAAUACCAUACCCGUAGAACCUGAUCUGAUUAGUAUCAGCGUAGGGAUUUGAGAUACUUUGAUUC
This is a regulatory RNA element of Actinobacillus pleuropneumoniae, 97 nucleotides long. It matches the Rfam family "TPP riboswitch aptamer (THI element)". Rfam says of the family: Vitamin B(1) in its active form thiamin pyrophosphate (TPP) is an essential coenzyme that is synthesised by coupling of pyrimidine and thiazole moieties in bacteria. Lineage: Bacteria; Pseudomonadati; Pseudomonadota; Gammaproteobacteria; Pasteurellales; Pasteurellaceae. The record is from Rfam.